CCUACGGGCGGCAGCAGUGGGGAAUAUUGCACAAUGGGGGAAACCCUGAUGCAGCGACGCCGCGUGAGUGAAGAAGUAAUUCGUUAUGUAAAGCUCUAUCAGCAGGGAAGAAAAUGACGGUACCUGAGUAAGAAGCCCCGGCUAACUAAGUGCCAGCAGCCGCGGUAAUACGUAGGGGGCAAGCGUUAUCCGGAUUUACUGGGUGGAAAGGGAGCGUAGACGGCAGUGCAAGUCUGGAGGGAAAGGCGGGGGCUCAACCCCCGGACUGCUCUGGAAACUGUACGGCUGGAGUGCAGGAGAGGUAAGUGGAAUUCCUAGUGUAGCGGUGAAAUGCGUAGAUAUUAGGAGGAACACCAGUGGCGAAGGCGGCUUACUGGACUGUAACUGACGUUGAGGCUCGAAAGCGUGGGGAGCAAACAGGAUUAGACACCCCAGUAGUC
This 440-nucleotide ribosomal RNA is filed under the name uncultured bacterium. Its description in RNAcentral is "partial 16S ribosomal RNA". It matches the Rfam family "Bacterial small subunit ribosomal RNA", at positions 338 to 795 of the family's 1533-position model. The record is from RNAcentral.